RNAcentral lists this long non-coding RNA (237 nucleotides) under Rattus norvegicus (Norway rat). RNAcentral's name for it is "long non-coding RNA NONRATT014927". The record is from RNAcentral. Lineage: Eukaryota; Metazoa; Chordata; Mammalia; Rodentia; Muridae.
GAGAAAGUGCAUCCGUCGAGUUCUAAUGGAGUUCUGAGAUGGAGUCUUUGGGACCAUGUGCCCCAUAGUGGAGAGGUGGCCUCGGUACAUAUCCUGCUGAAUCUGCAGGGCCCAGCAGAGAACCUUGAACAUGUGGGCAGCUUCAUAGCUCUCAGAGAAAUGAACCAGAAUCUACACGUAGCUCUUCAAAUUACUUCACAUUUGCUGUUAAUAAAGUAUGUCUGUAUUUAAAAUUGA